This 248-nucleotide ribosomal RNA is filed under the name Tulasnella sp. WC035. Its description in RNAcentral is "Epulorhiza sp. WC035 partial large subunit ribosomal RNA". Lineage: Eukaryota; Fungi; Basidiomycota; Agaricomycetes; Cantharellales; Tulasnellaceae. The record is from RNAcentral.
ACGCUUGAAGUCAGUCGCGUCUUUUGGGACUCAGCCUCGCUUUUGCUUGGUGUAUUUCCCGAUCGAUGGGCCAGCAUCCGUUUCGUCCGCCGGAAAAGGGCAGUUUGAAUGUGGCACGGCCUCGGUCGUGUGUUAUAGCUUUCUGUCGUACACGGCGUCCGGGACGGAUCUAACGGCACGCUUUCAGCGGUGCCUGUGUUGGCGUAAUGGCUUUAAACGACCCGUCUUGAAACACGGACCAAGGAGUC